RNAcentral lists this ribosomal RNA (327 nucleotides) under uncultured Anaerolineaceae bacterium. Its description in RNAcentral is "bacterial SSU rRNA". It matches the Rfam family "Bacterial small subunit ribosomal RNA", at positions 1041 to 1382 of the family's 1533-position model. The record is from RNAcentral. Lineage: Bacteria; Bacillati; Chloroflexota; Anaerolineae; Anaerolineales; Anaerolineaceae.
UUGCGAUGGCUGUCGUCAGCUCGUGUCGUGAGAUUGUUCGGUUAAGUCCGCUAACGAGCGCAACCUCGUCGUAUGUUAUAUGUGUCAUACGAGACUGCCGGUAAAAGCCGGAGGAAGGUGAGGAUGAUGUCAAGUCAGCAUGACCUUUAUAUCCAGGGCUACACACACGCUACAAUGGUCUGUACAAUGGGUAGCCAAGCCGCGAGGCGGAGCCAAUCCUGAAAGCAGGCCUCAGUUCAGAUUGCAGUCUGCAACUCGAUUGCAUGAAGCCGGAGUUGCUAGUAACCGCAGGUCAGCAAUACUGCGGUGAAUACGUUCCCGGGUCUU